Molecule: long non-coding RNA, 2679 nt
Filed under: Citrus sinensis (sweet orange)
Lineage: Eukaryota; Viridiplantae; Streptophyta; Magnoliopsida; Sapindales; Rutaceae
Description: long non-coding RNA (CSIN_LNC004098)
Source: RNAcentral
UAAUAUCUUAAUUUUAAGCCCCGCACCUCAUAAAGCACCAUAAGUAAUAAAGCAUCAUAACAAUCAAUAAAUAAACUCACCAUACACUCUUAUUCCAUCUUGGCACACUAUAUUCUAUAUUCAGGUAUGCAGUUGUUACAGGAGCAAAUAAGGGAAUUGGGUAUGAAGUAGUGAGGCAAUUGGCUUUAAAUGGGGUCAUUACGGUACUAACAGCCAGAGAUGAGAAGGGGGGUCUUGAAGCUGUUGAAAAACUCAAACACUCUGGCUUUGAUAAUGUGAUCUUUCAUCAGCUUGAUGUUGCAGACCCUGCUGCUAUUCACUCUGUAGCUGAUUUCAUUCGAAGUCAUUUUGGAAAGCUUGAUAUUUUGGUAUGAUUGAGAAUCAGUUUUUUCUGUUGACGCAACUAGUUUGGCCGAUAAUACAACUGAGUGAUAAUUAGUUGGAUUUCUUGGCAGGUAAAUAAUGCAGGGAUUACUGGAAUCAGUUCGGAUGCUGAUACUUUGUCAGGUUUUAUUGAGGUACUUUUGAAUAAGAGCUUUUUUUCAUUGCCGUAAUCUGAGGCAGCUGAGUUUAAAACUAGAUGGGAUUACUAAAAAGUGAACAACAUGGGCGCCAGUCUGGCUCAAAAUUUACCAAAUAUAAGACCCUUUCCUUCUAUCUAAUCAACUAUAGGUUAGGAAGAUUUAUUAUAUUACAGAUGAACCACGGCACAACGAUCUUUUUUUUUUUUAAUUUUAUUGUGGCCUCAAUGAUGCAGGAAGGUGUUGCAAGAGGAAAAAUGACUCAAACUUAUGAGUCAGCUGAAAAGUGCCUGCAAACAAACUACUUGGGGGCCAAAAGAAUGUGUGAAGCACUCAUUCCUCUCCUCCAGUUAUCCGAUUCAGCAAGAAUUGUUAAUGUAUCCUCUUCCUUGGGAAAGUUGAUGGUAAAACAGUUUUACAGCCCUUUAUAAAAUUGAACUAGUUGACAUUCAGGUAGUAAUUAAGCCCAAUUUGGCCGCUAAAUUUUGCUUCCACUGCAUCUGAUAUUCCCUUAUAAUUACCUGUAGAUCGAUAUUGGAGUACUCCUUGUCUCAAAUUUUAAUUAUGAUUAAGUUCAUUGGAAUCAUGAAGGUUGAAAUUUCUGUUUCUCAUCAUUUUCUUUCAGUAUGUAACACAUGAAUGGGCCAAAGGAGUGUUUAGUGAUGCUGAGAACCUCACAGAAGAAAGAGUGGAUGAGGUAUUGAGCCAGUAUCUAAAUGAUUACAAAGAGGGUUCACCGGAAACUAAAGGAUGGCCUGCUAAUGCAGCUGCUUACAUACUAUCAAAAGCAGCUAUGAAUGCCUACACAAGGAUCCUGGCCAAGAAGUACCCAAAUUUUUGCAUCAAUUGUGUUUGCCCUGGCUAUGUUAAAACAGAAAUGACCUACAACGCUGGUAGAUUAACUGUAGAAGAAGGUGCCGAAUCUCCAGUUUGGUUGGCUCUGCUGCACAAGGGCGGUCCUUCUGGUCUAUUCUUUUCACGGAAAGAAGAGACCCUUUUUUGAUUGAAAAUGAUUCAUCGAUCACUGCAUACCGAUGUUGAAUUUACAUAUCUUUUGAUGUUGAAUUUGAAUAAGUGAAAUAUCAUCUUAUGCAAUUGAACCCUUUGUUAAAAGUAAUAGAUGAAUGGACUCAUCCAAAUACUUGAGUGCAGCUUCCUUCCUUGCCAUUAUUUUUAAACAAAGGUGUAAUUAAUUGUCUUCGAAGAAAACGAAAGCAACAUAAUUAUUCAUGAUCUCACCACGUGAAACGAUGUGAACAAAAAUAUCAGAAUAAUAUUAUUUUACUUUCCUGGAGAUCCAUGAUGGAGAUUGCGCAAUACAUAUACAUCUGAAGGGAGUAUUCUUCUAGCCAUGAAAAGGAGCAACCAAGUACAUUAUUCGAUGGGAGAAGCAACAACCAAGUACAUUAUUCCCCCUUCCUCUUCUUCUUUCAUUUUUUGUUUUUACUUCCUUUCGGACUCUCUCUCUCUGUUUUUUUUUUUUUUUCAAUAUGAAAUUUCUCAGCAGGCAUGCAGUUGUUACAGGAGCAAACAAGGGAAUUGGGUUUGAAAUUGUGAGGCAAUUAGCUUCCAUGGAGUCACUGUGGCCUUAACUGCUAGAGAUGAGAAGAGGGGUCUUGCAGCUGUUGAAAAACUCAAAAACUCUGGCUGUGACAAUGUGAUCUUUCAUCUGCUUGAUGUGACAGACCCCGCUAGCGUUGACUCUCUAGUUCAUUUCGUCAGUAGUCAGUUUGGGAAGCUUGAUAUUCUGGUAUGAUUUAUCCAAUAUCAGUUUCUUGAAAUGUUCGCAUAACACCAUAAAUCUUGAAAAUGUUCUUAUGGACUCAUUUAGUAGGCAGAUUGUGGAUUGUAGAGUAUCCAGAGCAUCACAAUUGUAGAAUCGAUUCUGAUGAUCAAAUUAAGAUGCUGUCGCAUAAGUAUUACGGUCUUGUUUAGAUUGAAAUCAAGUGGAUUCCAGGGCUCAAUAAGGUUGGCAAAUAGUAUCAACUGAUUGAGUUAGUUUUGUGGGUCAAUGACGAGUCUCCAAACUAUAACAAGUGAUAUUAGGGCAAUCCGGAACGCAUUUCUCCUGAAUUCUACAAGAAUAUGUUAGUUUUCCUGGUCAAAUAACUUCUUUUCGGUCUAUAUGUAAACUGAUUUAUUAUAAAUGUUGGACUUC